Molecule: ribosomal RNA, 492 nt
Filed under: uncultured bacterium
Lineage: Bacteria
Description: partial 16S ribosomal RNA
Rfam family: Bacterial small subunit ribosomal RNA
Source: RNAcentral
AGUGAACGCUGGCGGUAGGCCUAACACAUGCAAGUCGAACGGCAGCACAGUAAGAGCUUGCUCUUACGGGUGGCGAGUGGCGGACGGGUGAGGAAUACAUCGGAAUCUACUUUUUCGUGGGGGAUAACGUAGGGAAACUUACGCUAAUACCGCAUACGACCUACGGGUGAAAGCAGGGGAUCUCCGGACCUUGCGCGAUUGAAUGAGCCGAUGUCGGAUUAGCUAGUUGGCGGGGUAAAGGCCCACCAAGGCGACGAUCCGUAGUUGGUCUGAGAGGAUGAUCAGCCACACUGGAACUGAGACACGGUCCAGACUCCUACGGGAGGCAGCAGUGGGGAAUAUUGGACAAUGGGCGCAAGCCUGAUCCAGCCAUACCGCGUGGGUGAAGAAGGCCUUCGGGUUGUAAAGCCCUUUUGUUGGGAAAGAAAAGCAGCAGGUUAAUACCCCGCUGUUCUGACGGUACCCAAAGAAUAAGCACCGGCUAACUUCGUG